Molecule: long non-coding RNA, 2628 nt
Filed under: Pongo abelii (Sumatran orangutan)
Lineage: Eukaryota; Metazoa; Chordata; Mammalia; Primates; Hominidae
Description: lincRNA
Rfam family: mir-137 microRNA precursor family (bases 821-891)
Source: RNAcentral
AUUAGCAUGUUUGGGAUCCACUACUGGAUGGUUAACAGCAGCUUUUGUAACUGUACGCCGACCAUAUCCAAUUAUGCUCUGCUAAAAAUGAACUCUUUGCAGACCAACCCUCUCGGCUGUCAGUGUUUUCCGUUUUCCUAUUUUAACGUUUGUGUAUAGUGGCAGGCGACAGAUGGUGUAGAUCAGAUCGAUUUGAUUGCAUUAGAUGAUUUUUUCCCUUCCCCACUCCUUUCUGGAAGCUCGCAUCAGCUGAAGGCUAUCGCCUGGGACUCCUCGGAAGCAUGAGCAAGCCGCCACCACGCGAAGGCACUGGGGCACAGCCAGCGCGAGGCGCCGAGGUCCCUUCCCAGGGCUUGUUAACACUGUAACCCAGCACUCGGAGAGAAGAAGCAGCUCCCACUGCCCAGAGCCUACCUCACUGCACAUCAGAUGACUCCCUGGCUUCUACACACAGUUGGAGUUCCUCUUGAAACCUGGAUUUAGAGGGGUUCCCUGGCUGCCAUGGCACUCAAUCAAACCACCUAGAGUGGACUGACCGAGACCAGACUGGGUACCAAGCAGAGAAGUGCAGAGGAAAGCACUGGGAGAGCACCAGAAUUGGAAAUAGAGCGGCCAUUUGGAUUUGGGCAGGAAGCAGCCGAGCACAGCUUUGGAUCCUUCUUUAGGGAAAUCGAGUUAUGGAUUUAUGGUCCCGGUCAAGCUCAGCCCAUCCCCAGCCAGGGGCGGGCUCAGCGAGCAGCAAGAGUUCUGGUGGCGGCGGCGGCGGCAGUAGCAGCGGCAGCGGUAGCAGCGGCAGCGGCAGCUUGGUCCUCUGACUCUCUUCGGUGACGGGUAUUCUUGGGUGGAUAAUACGGAUUACGUUGUUAUUGCUUAAGAAUACGCGUAGUCGAGGAGAGUACCAGCGGCAGGGGGGCAGCGGCCGCCCUCCCCAGCCCACCAGCUGGCCACUAAACGCCCGUGGUUGCCAAGGCAUCCAAAGCCUCUGGGAUGUGUUCUGACUGUAAAAACUCUGAUGUUCUGAAAAAAGCUUACGCUUUGCCUCCACUCAAACCAGAUGGUGUUUUGCUCUUAUUGCCCAGGCUGGAGUGCAAUGACGUGAUCUUGGCUCACCACAGUCUCUGCAUCCAGGAUUCAAGCUAUUCCCCUGCCUCAGCCUCCCAAAAUGCUGGGAUUACAGGCGUGAGCCACCAUGCCUGGCCAGCAUUCCCAAUUUUUAAAAAUGAAUGAUUGGCACAAAUCUUAGAAAGCCAUUUUCUGUACAUUUGAAAGCAAUGCUAUUUACAUUGUUACUACUUUCUUGUUAAAUCUUGCAUGUCUGCAGUAUGUGUUGUAAUAGAAACCUAAGAUUAUGGUCUGCCGUAUUCAUAUUUUGAAAAGAAAAUUUCAGACUGUAUAAUCAACUAGUUGAUGAUUCAUAUUUGCUUGUACAAAGUUAAAAGUGUAACUUGCCAGAAAAGAAGGAAGCCUGAAAAGUAUUCUAAAUACAUUAAUAAGAAGGGUUCUACAUGAAUUAAUUUUUGUUUUACCAUCUACAGAGUUCCUGCCACGUUCUAGGCACUUCAUAUUUGCUGCAACAUUUAUUCUGACAUUGACAGAACAGGAGAAAAGAAGUUAAAUUUUAAGUACCAUGGACUGAAAUUAAACUUAGGGAAGAUAUUUUAUAGUAUUAAUUGUUAAUCUGUAUUUAACAAGAUAUUCAUUUAUUUUGGGUGAUUUAAGGAUGGUCCCUUCUGGAAACAGGAUUACCAACAUAUGGACCUAUUUAGUCAAUUUCAACCUUGUGAUUUUGAAUCUGACAGGUUCUCAGCUGCUUUUAUUAAAUAACGGAUUUUCUUAAUAAUUACUGUACUCAAACUUAGCAAAAAGCUCUCACUAUUUAUAGCCCAGUUUUUUAGUCACACAUGAUUGUGUCUUGUCAAAUUGAAACCAUAUACUACAUCCUUUACUUAUUAAGAUGGUCUUUCUUUGUAAUAAUUUUGGAGUAAAUAGUUUACUUAUCUAAACCUCUGAUUUCUGAUUUAAUAGAUUUUUGAAGCAUUUAUUUUCCUUACCAUACAUAAAAAUUGUCAGUUGAGGACAAGGAAGGAUUAACCUGGACUAUGGUGAAUAAUUGUUCAGGUUGCUUACUGUGUAACUCCAGAGGAGCAUUCACAUAGUAGAAUUGGCAGAUUUAAGUAUUUAUUACAACCAUUUUCUGGCAGAUAACAGUGGAACACCCUGUUCUAUUAAAAUUAGUUUAUUAUGACAAAUUGCCUACAAAUGGACAUAAAGUGUCUUGAGGAAGGGCACCUGCUUUGGACUGAAUCGUGUCCCCCCACAAUCAUAUGUUGAAGCCUAAUCUCUAAUGUGACGGUAUUUGGAUAUGGGGCCUUUGGGAGAUAACUAGGUUUAGAUGAGGUCAUGAGCAUGGGGCCUUCCUGAUUAGUACCCUGAAAAGAGAAAACACCAGAGAGCUUGCCCUCUCUCUCUCUUACCCCACAGGCACACAAAGAGGUCAUGUGAGUACACAGUGAGAUAACAACCACCUAUGAGAAAACAGAAGAGGCUUCAGAAUGAAAUCUACUUUGCUGGUACUGUAAUGUUGGACAUUAUUCUCUAGAACUGUGAGAUAAUAAAUUUAUCUUAUUU